GUCGUACGAGAGUUUUUAACUCUAGUGGCGGACGGGUGAGUAACACGUGAGAAUUUACCUUUAGGAGGGGGAUAACAGCGUAUCAAUAGAUAUUACGGAAACGGCUGCUAAUACCCCAUAUGCUUUUGAGUGAAAUAGAUUUAUCUGCCUAAAGAGAAGCUCGCGGCUGAUUAGCUUGUUGGUAAGGUAAUGGCUUACCAAGGCGACGAUCAGUAUCUGGUUUGAGAGGACGAUCAGACACACUGGAACUGAGACACGGUCCAGACUCCUACGGGAGGCAGCAGUGGGGAAUUUUCCGCAAUGGGCGAAAGCCUGACGGAGCAAUACCGCGUGAGGGAAGACGGCCUAUGGGUUGUAAACCUCUUUUUUUCAGGGAGGAAUUCAAUGACGUGUACCUGAGGAAUAAGCAUCGGCUAACUCCGUG
Molecule: ribosomal RNA, 424 nt
Filed under: uncultured bacterium
Lineage: Bacteria
Description: bacterial SSU rRNA
Rfam family: Bacterial small subunit ribosomal RNA
Source: RNAcentral